This 63-nucleotide transfer RNA is filed under the name Microlophus atacamensis. RNAcentral describes it as "tRNA-Cys". Lineage: Eukaryota; Metazoa; Chordata; Lepidosauria; Squamata; Tropiduridae. The record is from RNAcentral.
AAGCCCCGGGGCCGCCACGGCCCUUCUUCAAAGUUGCAUUUUGACGUGAACCACCUCGAGACU